CCAACCCGAAACCAAUUCACCCUUUUUCACUUUUCCUCUUUCUUCUUCCGUCGAAAUAAGGGUUAGAGAAACAUACUCUUCCAUUGGCGACCUCACCACCAGCGAACUACAAAUUUAGGUUUUUCUUUUCAUCAUUUUCUUCUUCUCUUUAAUUUUUAUUUUGAGUUUCUGAAUUUCUUGUGGGUUAUUUCGAUUUCAAUUUGUAUUAUUUGCUACAAAGUUAGGUUUUAUUCUGAAAUUUUCAACUUCAGUUGAUGUUUGAUGGUAUUGAUGUUUGAUGGUUUCAACUUCAAUUUGUAUUUUCUUCUCUUUAAUUGAUGUUUGAUGGUACUUCAAUUGAAUUUUUCAACUCUCUAUUACUCUGACUAGAAUAGUAGUUGUGGAGCAAAUAAAAGACUUUAACUUCGUCAGUUGUAAGUUGUAACCCGUGGAUCCUUUGAGCCUCUUGGGUAAUAUAAAGCUGCUUGUUUUUCUGUAUUGAAAUUUUGAUUGAAUUUGUUAUAAUAUGUUGGUGAUUGUCCGAAAAAAUUUAAGGGUCAACCAUAUGUUUUGUAAUUUUAUUUUCCUGGUAUUAUUUGAUAACCAUUUGUAAUUUUUGAAAUGAUCAUGUGUUUGUGAUACUUACAGUAGGUUGGCUUAUCGUCUCUAGUUAUGUAAAUUUGUAAUUAUAAUUGCUUAGUUGAGUUUUAAGCAUUUGAUUUUCUUGAUAUAGUUGAAAUAGUUGGUUAUCUUUGAUGUUUCUGCUUGUGCACAUUUAUCAUAUGUUGUAUUGUUUUCUAUUGAUGGAGUUCUUUUGAGUCAUGAAUCAUGUGGCAUGUGGAUUUUAUGACUUCCUUUUGUUUGUGGUUAGAAAUUAUUGGUGGGAUUUUUGGUGAAUGGAAUGAUGGUUGUAUUUAAUCAAUGAUUCGUGGUUGAAUUAGUUUUAAUAAAAAUUAAUUGGGAAAGGGUUUUAAUAUGAAUGGUAAUAUUUUGCUACUGUAUAAUUGGGAGAAAGUUGUACGCAUACUGAUGUUUUCUAAAAAUUUAUUUCAAAAUAUUGAUGUUUUACACUACACUUUCAUGUCUCAUUUCAAUGAAUUUUAGCUUCAGAAAAAAAAUGUUUUGGCUUCACCUUGUUAACUGCAAUUUUUAGUUUCUGGGAAUCACCAAGGCGCAAACGAGCCUAAAGGACCUCUUGAGGCACUUAGGCCUAAGCUUCAGGUAUUUGUCCAUCUGUCUCACCUUGUGAAAUCCCUUUUCUUAUCUGAACUCUUAUCAUAGAAAUUUAAAUGAUUAUGUCCUUCAUAGUUGGUAGUUUGCGGUACCUUAAGCAUCUUGAGCCCUUAGGACAUUGAGCCGGUUCCUUGUGGUACUUUUAAAAGAUUGGCUGAUGGAGCAGAAGUAGAAGUCGAUUAAGUAUGUUUUAGUCCCAAUUGAUGCUUCGCAAGAAAUUCUUCGUCAUGCUUAUCAGUUACUCUGUAUGUUUAAUUUUCUUCCUUGCACAUUGUACUGAGUUUGUCUAGAGAGGGUUUGUUAGUCUGUCUAAAUCUCCUAAUUCAAUUUGUGUUGAUAUAGCAGGUUUGAACAUUGAUUCACUGAAUGAAGUUGUUGUUUAUCGUGCAACAGUCGAAUGCGAUAGAUAGUGACAGGAAUAGAUUUGCUGAUACUUUAGGGUUGCAACGGUUAGGCUAUAUCCUAUGUACCAUUGUACGCCACCUUGAGAUUCUGGACUCUAUUUUUCUCUGGCUAAUAAUAUGUUUCCAUGCUUGGCAUCUUAGACGAAUUGAUAGUGUUGUGUUAUGUCAUGCAGGUCCUAAAGUAGUGGAGUUCAUCAUUAACCAUGCUGAAGUCUCUUUAGUUUUUGUUCAAAAAGAUCUGGUUUCUGAGUUUACUGAGUUAUAAGAUUUUGAUCAUCUAGUUGUUUUUUGGUGCUUUAGGUUAGAACAGAGGUGGGUAGAGGUGUCUAUUAAUACUCAAGUCGAUACACUUGUAAAUGUAGUGAAUCAAGGUGUCAAGUCCAACUCGUAUGGCUCUGAUGCUGCUAUAAAUAAGACAAUGGUGUUUGCGAAUAUUGUUGAUGCAGUAAAGUCAGUAGCUAAAAUACUGCAGACUUCUGGGAUCCAAUGUUUCUGCUACCAUAGGAACAAUUCUCUUCAAGAACCUACAAAUAACUUAGUUGACUUCGGAGAAAGGGGUCGUGUGCUAGUGUGCACUGAUGUUGCGGCUCGUGUCUUGACAUUUCCAAUAUAUUACACGUUAUUCAGAUACUAGAAUGCUUAUCAAAGUGUAACUACCUAAAAAAAGCUUUGAGAAUGUCUCAAGCACACAAAGGAAGAAAGCUGAGGUAGCAGCGUAUGUUGUUUCUCUUGGGAUGAAUUCUCUCAAUUGGGAACUAUGGUUUGUGAACUCCCUUCGAAACAGAAGACUGAUGUCUGCAUUAUAAUGUACACAAGUGGCACAAGCGCACAACAGGAGAGCCAAAUCUAAGAGAGCCAAAAGGGAUGGGUUUAAUCUAUGCAGCUUUCAUAGCAGCUUCGAGUGUUCUCAUGAUUCACACAUCUAUUCACCUCACGUUAAUUUGAAGUUCUGUGCUGAAAGCCUGACACAUUUUGAUAGCUAGACAUAAAUGUUCAGAUUUUUUAUUUGAGGGAACAUAAAGUUUUGAAUGGAUGUGGUAGAUUAUCUCAUUAAUGCUAGAUUGAAAUUUAAGAAA
This is a long non-coding RNA of Spinacia oleracea (spinach), 2692 nucleotides long. RefSeq lists it as uncharacterized. The transcript has 4 exons. Lineage: Eukaryota; Viridiplantae; Streptophyta; Magnoliopsida; Caryophyllales; Amaranthaceae. The record is from RefSeq and is a predicted model, not a curated record.